CCACGCCCUCGCCGGCUACAUCAAACGGCCUUUCCUCACGAUUGAAAGCAAGCCUUGCUGUGGGGCGCUUGUGAUCGCCCCCUCGCUUCUCGCUCUCUGCUCUGCUUUUCUCCUUGUGUCUCGCUUUCUUCGUCCAGCAUUCGCUUAUGACUGUCCCUUCAGUAUUGCGUGGCGUUGAUUCACAUACUCAAACAGAGAAAAAGAUACGUUCACUUCACAGGAGGCCCAGAGGAGGCCAGUGACGUGGCGAGGCGGCAGAAACGCGUCUCUCCACGCAUGAUGAGCCCCCCCGCGGAGUCGGAAUUCCUCGACGGCGACGCGUACUUGCGCUUUUGCCGUGCUCGAAGAGGCAGCGUAGAGAAGGCAGCUGGGAUCCAGAAACGUACAAGCGAGUGAAGGAAGCGUGAAGGCCGAGCACGCUGACCGCGAUGAAGUGAGGGGAGACAAUGCCGCACUUAACGAUGAUGUAUGGUGGCCGCUGAAAGUGAGGCCACCCUGCGCUUGCCAUGGCACGGGCCGAACCAAAGGGACUGCUCAUGAAGGCAUGCAAGAGGGGCCUGCACGGCGUGCCGGAGGAGACGCCGCGCAAAGGCAAUGACCUCGAUCACGCGAAUCUCCGACUUGACCUACAUGCCGAAGGGGAAGCGAGAAAGAGCACACCGGAAGGCCAAAAGUGAUCUCACAGAGUGGAAGAAGGCGGUGCAGUCUGUGCUUGACUACUACCCCGGAGAGGCUCGAGGAGAUGCUGCUCUUCCACCAAUUCUUCCUGAUGACACGAAUGCUCGCGUUUGUUCGCUUCAAUCUUGACCUCACCACGCGUGGGACGGUGCACAUCGUCGGCAUCGCCGUGAAGGAGCUGGCGAAGUUCGUAGAUCGCGAUCAGCUUUCAGAGCUGUGCGAGGGAGUCAUGCCGGGUACGGUGACGACGCACUUCCGUGAGUUGCCCAACUUGAACACGCCGAGUGCGAACGAGAUGUGGACUCGCUUUUUGUUUUCUUCUUUAAUAGUGUUUGGUUGUUGCAUGGAGAGCGAGUGGCAGCUGCCUCACAAGCACGCACCUUCUCAAAGGUCGGCCCGUGUGCUGCGUAACGCUCGUGAUAGAAGGCAUUACUACAGUGCAUUUCCGUUUUGUUUCUUGUUUUCUCCUUGCGCGGGUCUCGGAGCGGUGCAAGCCAUGCUUCGACGUUGCGCCUUUUUUCGUUCUUCUCUUUUGGCUAUUUCGACUCACCGACCCCACCCCAACGCCGCCCUUGAAGUGAGCGACUACAGAAAAGGGGAGCCAACAAACGCAUUCACGCUCUCUCUCAUCGCUUGCCCGUCAAGGAGCGGCAAGCAAGGAAUGUUUGGCAAGAACACGGCAGUGCGCACAUGCAGCCACAUCUGCAAGGACGUCCAACACGUGAAAAGCAUCACGCACACAAUAAGUGCGAAAAAGAAAACAAGAGAGAGCGAAGCAGCGUAAGGCAUCACAAACCCCUCUGCGUCCCGCCCGCACCUCUUUCUACGUUCCUUUACGCUUUAUGAUCAGUGUGCUCCUUUUUCCUUUUUUUCUCGUGUUACUUUAUUCUGGUGUGUGUGUGUGUGCUUUUUGUUGUCUCAGCCACCAACUACAUCCUGCUCACCAGCUCGUAUUCGGUGUGCGGCGAUGCUCGCGGGCGUGUGUGUCUGAGCGGCCCCACGCGUAUGGCAUUGGAUGUGCGCGUCUUCGUUUGAGCUGCACACGCACACAUAAUCAACUG
Molecule: unclassified non-coding RNA, 1739 nt
Filed under: Leishmania donovani
Lineage: Eukaryota; Euglenozoa; Kinetoplastea; Trypanosomatida; Trypanosomatidae
Description: gene:unknown
Source: RNAcentral